This 690-nucleotide long non-coding RNA is filed under the name Olea europaea subsp. europaea. Lineage: Eukaryota; Viridiplantae; Streptophyta; Magnoliopsida; Lamiales; Oleaceae. The record is from RNAcentral.
CACAAAUUGCUGCCUACAAAUUAUUGUUAGUUCAUGUUUGACUUACCCAAAUUUUUUGAAUGCUAAUCCUUUAAAGUUCCAAAUUUUAUGAUGUGAUGCACAUCCACGAUGCCUAAAUAUUUAAGCUUAUGAGAAAAUGAUUUUUAUUAUGCGGGGAUAUUUACAAUGGGAUACACAUUCAUGGUGCUCUUGGAUAAGCCACUAAGAAUGGGUGAAGCCUUGUGCAGGCGUGGAGCCAGCACCCGACGAGGGGGGGCGGUCGCGCGUGCUGGCUCCGUCGAAAUGUGUAGAACCGCCAGGGAGCAAUCAGGCUGUUGCAGUUGCAGACUGGCAAAUCCGACAAGUGAUGGAAGACGAAGAUGAAUGAAACUACCCGCAUUUUUUUUGUUGGAGCUGUGUGAGUAAUUGAUAAAUAAGAAGUUCGGCCUCUUUUUGUUUAGCCCAAUUCUCAAAUGAAUGAAUAAACAAAUGGUCCAAUUUCCAAAUGAUCAAUCCAUUUUCAAAUCGUGAAAGCCAAGAAUCCAAACGUGAAAUGGCCAAAUUGUGAAAGCCAAACCCUUUUGCUUUCCUUCUCCACUCUCCAGUCACGCGACUCAGUAACGAAGAAGAGGCAGCACCAACGCCAUGAGGAGGAGGAGUCAUCGGAACCGCCAAUGAUGUGUUUUGCUACCAACUACCGAGUGCCGUCUG